Molecule: ribosomal RNA, 1197 nt
Filed under: Triticum aestivum (bread wheat)
Lineage: Eukaryota; Viridiplantae; Streptophyta; Magnoliopsida; Poales; Poaceae
Description: partial small subunit ribosomal RNA
Source: RNAcentral
AUGGAGUGGAAGAUCUCUAGGAAGAAGAAAGAGGCGAGCACGACGGACGCUCCGGCGGAGGCGGCCGCCUUCCUGACGGACGACCUUAUCUUGGAGAUCCUCUCCCGCCUCCCCGCCAGGUCCGUCCACCGCUUCAAGUGCGUCUCCCCGUCCUGGCGCGACCUCAUUGCCGACCCCGUCAACCGCAAGAAACUGCCCCACACCCUCGCCGGCUUCCUCUACAGCACCUACGACAGGGUAGGCCCCCGCUUCAAUUACUUUCGGUUCGCAGACUUCUCCAUCGGCGCAGCCCUGCCGGUCGACAUGUCCCUCCCUUUCUUGCCACCCAACAAGUACCUGCACGUCCUGGACACUUGCAAUGGGCUCCUCCUCUGCCUCUGCUCCAUGGCCCCUUCUUCUCCAUCAACGGAUGAGAAAGCGCCGGUUGAACUCCAUGCCCAUUUCGUCGUAUGCAACCCGGCCACCCGGAGGUGGGUCGCCCUGCCGCCUGGCUCACUGGCUCCAGACGAACCUCUCACCCUGGCUCGUUUGGCUUUUGAUCCAGCAGUCUCGUCACAUUUCCACGUUCUUCAGUUUAAGGGGGCCCGUUGGGGGGGAUGCAUCACAGGAGUGAGCAUCUACUCUUCGAAAUCUGGAGCUUGGAUUCGUAGAGAAAGCCUCUUGGUUGAAAAAAUUCUUCUGAAAUGUGGCGCUACAAGUGUCUUCUUUCAUGGAAUGCUGCACUUGCUUGGUUGGCUGUGCCCCCUUAACGUGAACGACGAUUUUGUGCUGGUAGCAGUGGACAUGGAGGGGAAGGUGUGGAAGACUAACCGUGUCCCGUCCGAUGGUUUGGCUUGUGGUAGAAUUGGUUUAUCACAGGGGUGCUUGCACUACUUUUCGAUGCCCAGGAUCAAGAAGAAAAAGGAGAACACCAAGGUAGCAUCAGUCUGGUUCAUGGAGGAUUAUGAUAGUAAAGAAUGGGUCUUGAAGAAUAGUGUCAGCAAUGAUGAGUUGCGGAACAUAAAUGGGGUGGAUUACAAGGUGGCUGCUUUUCAUCCAGACUGUGACACCAUUUUUCUGGAAGCACAUUGGACCCUUCCCCGGACCCUGCGCAAGCGGGAGCUACAUGCACUGGGCUGCCCAUGUGAUGUCGAUGCAUUGGCAUCAUACGAUACUCUGCUACACACACGACGGUUGUGGACGAUCUCCGCACGAUGA